RNAcentral lists this long non-coding RNA (580 nucleotides) under Volvox carteri. Its description in RNAcentral is "long non-coding RNA (VCAR_LNC001222)". Lineage: Eukaryota; Viridiplantae; Chlorophyta; Chlorophyceae; Chlamydomonadales; Volvocaceae. The record is from RNAcentral.
GUGCUGUUCACGACCGGUUUUUGAUGCAUGGUGGGGCGUAUGGUGGUCCAGCACAGUCAACAUGUGAAUGCAUGAAGGGUAGUAGUAUGUAUGUUGUUACAGGGUGGUUAACUUCGCCAGCGGCUCCCUUUCCCGGGGCAGUCCCUGCUCUCCCCUGCUAGAGGGGCGCCCUAAUCAUUCACCCCAUCCGACUUCAGAAUGUAUUCGUUGGGUUCGGCAACUCACCACCAGCAUCCAACCAAAUCUAGCGGAUCAACGGCGCCUCAACUUAGUUCCUGGUCAGCUCGCAAGUUGAUGUUAUCACAUCCUAUAUCGUCCAUAUGAUGGGGGGCCACCUUCCAUUUCAACACUCCUCAAACACCCGAGGAGCCGGCAGGCGGAUUUGAACCCGGGUCGGCCAGGUGCAGAAGUUAGGCCUUAACCUCUGCCAGCCGCCUGCCGUGUAUGAUUGGAUGGAUGGUGGUAUGUUGGUGGAUGUUGAUGGAUGGCGACCAUAGUGAACUUGUGGCUAUACGUGUUUGAGUCAGGCCGAUACAGCACAUGCUGGAUUUGUGCGUAUGUAACAGGCUUCGGAAUAAAU